RNAcentral lists this ribosomal RNA (421 nucleotides) under uncultured bacterium. RNAcentral describes it as "bacterial SSU rRNA". It matches the Rfam family "Bacterial small subunit ribosomal RNA", at positions 355 to 773 of the family's 1533-position model. The record is from RNAcentral.
UAAGGAAUAUUGGGCAAUGGACGCAAGUCUGACCCAGCCAUGCCGCGUGGAGGAUGCAGGUCCUCUGGAUUGUAAACUUCUUUUAUUUGGGAAGAAACCCGGAUUUUCUAAUUCGGUUGACCGUACCAGAUGAAUAAGCACCGGCUAACUCCGUGCCAGCAGCCGCGGUAAUACGGAGGGUGCAAGCGUUAUCCGGAUUCACUGGGUUUAAAGGGUGCGUAGGCGGGCAGGUAAGUCAGUGGUGAAAUCUCCGGGCUUAACCCGGAAACUGCCGUUGAUACUAUCAGUCUUGAAUAUCGUGGAGGUAAGCGGAAUAUGUCAUGUAGCGGUGAAAUGCUUAGAUAUGACAUAGAACACCGAUUGCGAAGGCAGCUUACUACACGAUCAUUGACGCUGAGGCACGAAAGCGUGGGGAGCAAAC